AGAUGAUCCGGCCAAUAGACACGUCGUCCCUGAAGGCAGGGUUCUGCGGGAUACCCUUCCAGAUCUUGUUCGCCGCAUCGUAGCUGCACGAAAAAAGGAGGCGGCGGAGGAGGAGGCGGUGGCGGUGGCGGUGGUGCUGGCGGUGGAGGUGGCGCUGGAAAUAAAAACAAAGCCGGCGGAGGAGGCGGUGACAAAGGCGGAGCCAAGAAAGGACAAGAGCAAAAGUCAGCCGCAGGCGGUGGCAAGAAAGGCGGAAAGAAAUAGCAACGGUGGCAACAUCAAAGCGCAUUAAAAAUUACAAAUUUAGAAUUAAGUUGAAAUUUAAUGUGGUAUCAGGGAAUAAAUAUGUAUCUAUAAUA
Molecule: small RNA, 359 nt
Filed under: Drosophila ananassae
Lineage: Eukaryota; Metazoa; Arthropoda; Insecta; Diptera; Drosophilidae
Description: GF17234
Source: RNAcentral